Molecule: ribosomal RNA, 329 nt
Filed under: uncultured bacterium
Lineage: Bacteria
Description: bacterial SSU rRNA
Rfam family: Bacterial small subunit ribosomal RNA
Source: RNAcentral
AUUGAACGCUGGCGGCAUGCCUUACACAUGCAAGUCGAACGGCAGCACGGGAGCAAUCCUGGUGGCGAGUGGUGAACGGGUGAGUAAUAUAUCGGAACGUGCCCAGUCGUGGGGAUAACGUAGCGAAAGCUACGCUAAUACCGCAUACGAUCUAUGGAUGAAAGCGGGGGAUCGCAAGACCUCGCGCGAUUGGAGCGGCCGAUAUCAGAUUAGGUAGUUGGUGAGGUAAAGGCUCACCAAGCCGACGAUCUGUAGCUGGUCUGAGAGGACGACCAGCCACACUGGGACUGAGACACGGCCCAGACUCCUACGGAGGCAGCAGUGGGGAA